Molecule: ribosomal RNA, 2086 nt
Filed under: bacterium
Lineage: Bacteria
Description: partial 23S ribosomal RNA
Rfam family: Bacterial large subunit ribosomal RNA
Source: RNAcentral
GCUCAAAAACUUAAAAAGCAUUAAGGGGAUGCCUAGGUGUCAAAUAAAUUUAUGAACGUUUAGUAAAACGAAAUGUCAGAAGUAAAUUAAGGAAAAUUUUUGAUCUCUGACGAUUCAUUCACAGGAAACUGUUGCUCAAUGCAUUUCAAUUUGAAAAAAAACGAGGGGAACUGAAACAUCUAAGUACCUUUUGGAAAAGAAAUCAACCGAGAGACCGUAAAUAGUGGCGAGCGAACGCGGUUUAGGCUUAAAAUGUUAAAAAAUUUCUUUUGAAUACCUGUGCCAUAGAGGGUAAAAGCCCCGUAAAAAGAAAAAUUUCGCAUUUUUUUAGUAUUACGUUAUCAAGUUAUCUCGUAUGAAUAAUGGGGUACCAUCCUCAAAGCCUAAAAAAUAUUUGACAACCGAUAGUGCACAAGUACCGUGAGGGAAAGGUGAAAAAAGAGGACACUCCCAGUGAAAAGAACCUGAAACUUAAUGCUGUUAUCUCUAGGAGCUUUCAUAGUGACUAGUUACCUUUUGCAUAAUGGGUCAGCGACUUUGUAUGUAUGGCGAGCUUAAACUAUUAGGUGUAGGCGUAGUGAAAACGAUUAAUAAAUAUUAAGUCAUGUGUGCAAAACCCGAAACUGAGUGAUCUAACCAUGAACAGGCUGAAGAAUUCACGGUAACGUUUUUCGAAGGGCCGAACCCGUGUAUGUGGCAAAAUACUGGGAUGAUUUGUGGUUAGGGGUGAAAGGCCAAUCAAACUCAGAGAUAGCUGGUUUUCUGCGAAAUCUAUUUAAGUAGAGUGUUUAUUGCAAUGUCUGAGGUAGAGCUCUCUUUUAGUGCGGGGUUGUAUAUCUUCUACCAAUCUUUUGGAAACUUCGAAUGCGGAAUCAUUUGCUAUAAACAAACAGACUUUGGGUGCUAAGAUCCAAGGUCGAGAGGGAAACAGCCCAGAUUGAACGCUAAGGACCUUAAAAAUACAGAAGUUAAAGGAAGUUUAAAACUUUAAACAGCCAGGAGGUAGGCUUAGAAGCAGCCAUCCUAUGAUGAAAGCGUAGCAGCUCACUGGUCUAGGUUUUUUGCGCCGAAGAUUUAAUGGGAUUAAAAGUAUUUUCCGAAGCGGCAAAAUCCGACAGAUUUGUCGGAUUGGUAGCAGAAUGUUCUGUAAGUUUAAAAAGCCAAGCUGUGAGGUUUGGUGAAGACAUCAGAAGUAAGAAUGCUGACAUAAGUAACGAUAAAGAGUGUAAAAACACUCUCGCUGUAAACCCAAGGUUUUCGACGUCAAGCUAAACUUCGUCGAAGAGAAAUUCGAUACAUAAAACGGCCCCUAAGAAUAUAGUGAAAACUCGUUUCGAUGGGUAACAAAAUACUGUUUUGGAAGUUGUGACAAAGGGUUCGAAUUUUGUUUAAAAAAUAACAUUUUUUUGCAAAUUAAUCUUUUCAAGAAAAAGCACUUCCUUUUGUACCGUACUGUAAACUGACACAAGUGGGUGGGUUGAGUAAACUAAAGCGCUUGAGAGAACUGUGUAAAAGGAACUCGGCAAAAUGGCUCCGUAACUUCGGGAUAAGGAGUGACUUUUGAUUCAAAAAAUGUUUUAAGAGUUGUCACAAAAUCGGAAGAAGUAACUGUUUAACAAAAACACAGGUCUCUGCAAAUUCGCAAGAAAAGGUAUAGAGGCUGACGCCUGCCCGGUGCUGCAAGGUUAAGGGGAUAUGUUUUGGCAUUGAACUUAAGCCCCAGUAAACGGCGGCCGUAACUCUGACGGUCCAAAGGUAGCGAAAUUCUUUGCCACCUAAUUAGUGGCCUGCAUGAAUGGCGUAAUAACUUCUUUACUGUCUCUUACACAGACUCAGUGAAAUUGAAAUAUCCGUGAAGAUGCGGAUUACUCACAGCUAGACGGAAAGACCCCGUGCACCUUUACUGCAUUUAUUAACUGCAAAAAUGUUUUUAUUGUGUAGAAUAGGUGGGAGCGCUUUACUAAUCUUUUUGGUUAUGUAAGUGCGAUCGUGAAAUACCACCCUUUAUUUAUGUUAUUGCUAACUUGUUUAUACAAGGACAGUUUAUAAUUGGUAGUUUGACUGGGGCGGUCGCCUUCUAAAAGGU